This 504-nucleotide ribosomal RNA is filed under the name uncultured bacterium. Its description in RNAcentral is "partial 16S ribosomal RNA". It matches the Rfam family "Bacterial small subunit ribosomal RNA", at positions 28 to 523 of the family's 1533-position model. The record is from RNAcentral.
GAUGAACGCUAGCGGCAGGCUUAACACAUGCAAGUCGAGGGGCAGCAUAAAUAGUAGCAAUACUAUUGGUGGCGACCGGCGGACGGGUGCGUAACGCGUAUACAACCUUCCCUAAACAGGGGGAUAAUCUGGAGAAAUUCGGUCUAAUACCCCAUAACAUCAGAGCAGGCAUCUGCUUUGGUUAAAAUUUCCGGAGGUUUAGGAUGGGUAUGCGUAGCAUUAGCUAGUUGGUGAGGUAACGGCUCACCAAGGCGACGAUGCUUAGGGGGACUGAGAGGUUAACCCCCCACACUGGUACUGAGACACGGACCAGAGUCGUACGGGAGGCAGCAGUGAGGAAUAUUAGUCAAGGGGCGGAAGCCUGAACCAGCCAUGCCGCGUGCAGGAUGACGGCUCUAUGAGUUGUAAACUGCUUUUGUACGAGGGUAAAGUGGGCUACGUGUAGCCUUUUGAAAGUAUCGUACGAAUAAGGAUCGGUUAACUCCGUGCCAGCCGCCGCAGUAA